Mya arenaria is the source of this 506-nucleotide long non-coding RNA. RefSeq lists it as uncharacterized. NCBI's taxonomy places the organism in Eukaryota, Metazoa, Mollusca, Bivalvia, Myida, Myidae. The transcript is spliced from 2 exons. The record is from RefSeq and is a predicted model, not a curated record.
ACAUAGCCCCGAAGCAAAGCGUGUACGAGAAGCCGUGUGCGAAGUAGCGCAUUCCGCACACAGAUUCGCUGGGCGUAAACACAAAAGGCAGCACCGCCAGAAACAAGAACAUCAUUGCUAUAAGAAGGGGUAUUCCUAACACCGUGGAAUCCACGUAACCCAUUUCGUGGUCAAGGGUCAUACUGGUCGGAUCCAUUGAAUCGUCCGACGAGGCGUUGAUAUUGAGACAAACACAAGGCUCGUCUACGCAAUAAGACUUCCUCAGUUCUGGUAGAGCCUCGCCGAUACUGUUGUACGACUUGAGAAGAUCGAGGUCUGCGGUCAAUUGUUGAUCCACCCAUUGACCAACCUGAAAUAAACAUUUUUUUAAUUAGGCUUGGCUUGGCAUAUUCUUCUUCUCAGACGUGUUUAGCAUAAUACAAAUUAAACAGAUGUAUUAAAAGAACGGUUUCUAAUAAAACGUUGUUUUUUUAAAAAAUAAAAUAAAAAAUGUUAUACUACGCUUA